GAUGAAGAACGCAGCGAAAUGCGAUAAGUAGUGUGAAUUGCAGAAUUUAGUGAAUCAUCGAAUCUUUGAACGCACAUUGCGCCCUAUAGUAUUCUGUAGGGCAUGCCUGUUCGAGCGUUAUUGAGACCUCAAGCUCUGCUUGGAAAUGGGCGCUUGUCUUGCCUUGCAGACUCGCCUUAAAACCAUUGGCAGCUGAUUUACAAUGUUUGGUGCACAGUACAUGAGCCCAAGUGUUGCAAUGAGUGGCCCAAAAGUAUACAAUAGAAGCUUAACCUCGGAUCAGGUAGGGAUACCCGCUGAACUUAAGCAUAUCAAUAACGGAGGA
RNAcentral lists this unclassified non-coding RNA (325 nucleotides) under soil metagenome. Its description in RNAcentral is "partial contains 5.8S ribosomal RNA, internal transcribed spacer 2, and large subunit ribosomal RNA". The stretch from base 1 to 120 matches the Rfam family "5.8S ribosomal RNA", at positions 35 to 154 of the family's 154-position model. The record is from RNAcentral.